GACGAACCGUGCGAACGUUGUUCGGAAUCACUGGGCUUAAAGGGCGCGUAGGCGGGCCUCCAAGUCCGGGGUGAAAGCCUCCAGCCUAACUGGAGAAGCGCCUCGGAGACUGGGGGCUUCGAGGGAGGUAGGGGCAAGCGGAACUAUGGGUGGAGCGGUGAAAUGCAUUGAUAUCCAUAGGAACUCCGGUGGCGAAGGCGGCUUGCUGGACCUCUUCUGACGCUGAGGCGCGAAAGCCAGGGGAGCAAACGGG
Molecule: ribosomal RNA, 253 nt
Filed under: uncultured bacterium
Lineage: Bacteria
Description: partial 16S ribosomal RNA
Rfam family: Bacterial small subunit ribosomal RNA
Source: RNAcentral